UAUUCCCCACUGCUGCCUCCCGUAGGAGUCUGGACCGUGUCUCAGUUCCAAUGUGGGGGACCUUCCUCUCAGAACCCCUAGCCAUCGUCGACUUGGUGGGCCGUUACCUCACCAACUAUCUAAUGGCACGCAAGCCAAUCCGCAUUCAAUGAAUCUCUUAAACAAAGGUCAUGCGGCCUCUGUUGUUACGGGGUAUUACGCGACGUUUCCAUCGACUAUCCCCCAGAUGCGGGCAUGUUGCUCACGCGUUACUCACCCUUUCGCCGGUCGCCGCCAAAGUAUUGCUACUCCGCGAUGCCCCUCGACUUGCAUGUGUUAAGCCUGCCGCCAGCGUUCAUCCUGAGCCAA
This 348-nucleotide ribosomal RNA is filed under the name uncultured rumen bacterium. Its description in RNAcentral is "partial 16S ribosomal RNA". The record is from RNAcentral.